RNAcentral lists this ribosomal RNA (503 nucleotides) under Tardigrada environmental sample. RNAcentral's name for it is "SSU rRNA". It matches the Rfam family "Eukaryotic small subunit ribosomal RNA", at positions 30 to 543 of the family's 1831-position model. Lineage: Eukaryota; Metazoa; Tardigrada. The record is from RNAcentral.
GCUUGUCUCAAAGAUUAAGCCAUGCAUGUCUAAGUAUGAAUGUUAUACAGUGAAACUGCGAAUGGCUCAUUAAAACAGUUAUUGUUUAUUUGAUAAUCAAAUUUACAUGGAUAACCGUGGUAAUUCUAGAGCUAAUACAUGCUGAUAUGCCUGACUCUUAGGAAGGGCUGUAUUUAUUAGAUAACAAACCAAUAUUCCUCGUGUCUAUUGUGAUGACUCAUAAUAACUGAUCGAAUCGCAUGGACUUUGUCCGCGAUACAUCAUUCAAGUUUCUGCCCCAUCAGCUUUCGAUGGUAGUGUAUUGGACUACCAUGGCUUUAACGGGUAACGGAGGAUUAGGGUUCGAUUCCGGAGAGGGAGCCUGAGAAACGGCUACCACAUCUAAGGAAGGCAGCAGGCGCGUAAAUUACCCAAUCCUAAUUCAGGGAGGUAGUGACAAGAAAUAACGGACUGAGGCCUACGCUUCAGGAUUGCAAUGAGUAGAAUUAAACCCCUUGCGAGAU